GGCCAAAACCCUAGUAGCUUCACUUCCAUUAUUCGUGUGAUUAGGUGAACGAGGCAGGAGCCUGAUCAUACAUGUAUACUAAUUUAAAUUUGAAUGGGUCUCUAAAAAAGGUCCUCUUUGGAAGUGACAGGCCUUUCUUCCCUUUUUUUUAUAAAAAAAAUUAAUAUUUUUUUUUUUUAACAAACGAUACCUACACUAAGGAAAAAAUGUGAGCUUAACUUCACAAUAGACUAUCAAUAAUGCAUGAAGUGACAAGUAGACAAUGAAAAUCAUAAAAUAAUAUUUAGUAUGAUAUAAAGUAAGAAAUUUUAUCUAGAAUAGUAUGAGUGUAAAGUAAAGUAAGUUGAUUGUGAUGAAAAGGGAUUUUCCUUAUCAUGUAGUAAAGGAGAAAAGAAGAAGAUGUCUUGUUUCCAAAAAAAAAAAAAAGAAGAAGAUGUCUCUUGAUAUUCAAUAAAGGUUAUACAAACAAAUAGCCUUGAUAGUAUGCUUUGUAACAGGGAGAAAGUGCAUUACGUUUAACACGGCAGUGGUGGUGACCGCGGGGGCCGUGGCGGCAAUCGCAGUUGGAGAAUAUAAACUGAAAUAAGAUCACCUAAAAGAGAGAGGUAAGGAGAGAGAGUGUAUCUACGUGAUAGUUUCUCAUUAUUAUUAUUCUAGUCAUGAGGCUGCUGAUACACAAACUGAAUCCACAGAAUAUCUCAGAUCUGAGGGACAAGCAUUUCCCUUGCGCGUUUCAUAUGAGCAACCAAUAUUUGGUAGUUAGGAAGGUUGUCUCUGAUGACAGGAACUUGCUUGAAAUUCUGAACCCAUGCAUGCAAUCGAGGCAAGGUGCUUGGCUCGAGCAAUUUGACACCCACCAUUUCUUCAACGGCUUCGAAAUAAAGAGCCAGCCAUCCAUGCGUUAUGUCUACCAAGUUUAUACUAUCACCCCCAAAACUUCUUGUCACCAAGCCCUUGCUCUUCCAAUAUUUUCAGCGUUUCCAACACUGAUUCGAUUGUCUUUUGUCGAUCUUCUCCGGCAGUUAAUCCGAAAAAUGCAUUAAAACUGGGAAUCUGAUGAUGUAUAAAAAGAUAUGGCUAAGCACUUAUUUUGAUCUUUUAUAGGGAAACAUAAAUUCGUGCGCAUGCUAAUCAUAGCUAUUUGGUUUCAAUCUGAACUCCUAGAGGGCAUGAUGACAAGCUACUUAGGUAGGAAAAAUCCCCAAUUUGAUCAUCACAAUGAUUUGUCUUGUUCUUAACAAACUACAAAAUUAAACUAGUGAGAAAAAUUGAACCCAUAUGAGCAGCAUUUUUCUGUAAAUUAUUGGGAGUCUCUCAAUAUAUAGUUGAACUAGAUAAUUAAGAGAAAAGCAGAUGAGAAAUAAUUGAAACUUGAAAUUAGUCACCUGACAUACAUGGAAUUGUAUCCAAAACCGAGCCAAGGCUCUUUCAUAAGCAUCUUCAGGCAGCAGAUGAUUCUCUGGCCAAGUUUCUUCUAUGCAUUCAAGGAUGGCAAUCAACUCGGAAAUCGGUUUUCCCCGGUGAAAAAGCACCGGAACCUUCUUGUAAACUGGAUUGCACUGCAACAGAAGUUCACUCUUGUUAAAAAUGUCCUGUUCUAUGUACUCAUAUUUCACACGCUUGAGCUUUAGAGCCCACUAGAAAGUUUUGCCCGCGCGUUGCUGCAGGAUUAGAAAUUAUGUGAAAAAUUAUGUUGUACAGGUAUAAACACAUCAACUUAUAUCACAUGUAAUUAAAUCAAGCAAUCUCUAAACAUGAGAAAUGGAUCUUAGAAAGUAUAAAUCCUACCUCAUAAUAUUAAGGGAAGUGUUAUUGGCACUCCAAAAAUCUCAUUCUACACUCCUCACAAGUGUAUUUUUCUUUUCUAAUAUAGAAAGUUUGGAGUGUAGAAUGAGAGUUUUGGAAUGCUAAUAACAAUUCUCAUUUUAUACAAUUAACAAAUUCUCAGUGUAUGAUCACAAAAAGGUAUAGAAAAGUAAUUCAAUUUUUAAAUUUCAAAAAUGGGAAAGAUAAAAAAAGGGUCUAAAUUCUCAGUUCUCAAUAUAACGAAAAUUAUGAUAUCAUUUUAACAUGAACUCGGGUUUUAUCUCGGUCACCAGCAUUAAUAAAGCUAGUGACUUCAACCUGUGCAAGCAAACAACUAAAUUAGACGCAAGCCAACUUCAAUUUAACCGAAUCAAAAAAGCAACCACGAUCAACCAACCACUCUUCUUCCCAUAUGUAGAAGCUAUUCUUUGUUUGCCUUUGUGAGCAGUGCACUUUUCACUCUCUACACACAAAAUGAACACUCAAAAUGCUCAGCAACAUUAAAAAACUUAAUAAGUUAUAUGUAUACAUUACUAUAUAUGUAUUUGGACAUAAAGUAUAAAAAUUUACUAUCAGAUUAACAAAAGAAGUAAUUAUGAAUUGGAAUUAAAUGAUAUUAUAGUUGUUAAAAAAAUACCUAACCAAUUUUUACACAUAGCAUCAUAAAUUGUUAAAAAAAAAUAACAGCACUGAAAUAUCUAAUUACUCAAAUCUAUAAUUCUAUUAAAACACAUCACUGAAAACCCCAAGGAGAGAGGUGCAUAUUCCUAACCUUGCACGGUUAAAAUUGCAUUUUGUUUGAGGGGAGAAAAAUGAUCAGAACUGAUAAGUCAAUAGUUAAAUAGGUUUACUCUGGUGUCAAAUGUUUUUUAAUACAUACAGAAUACUCUCUAUUUAAAUCAACAUUGAUUCUUGCAUACCUUCGGUUAUAUAAUGUUUGGAGUUGAAUGUAUAUAUACCCAGAUGGGAAUAAUUCUUUAUCCGAAACUUAGAACAAACCAACUCAUCCGAGUACGCAAUGGAACUUAGCUACAACUCCAAUAUAAUCAAUGUAAAUUAUUAUAUUGAAACAAUGUGAUCAAACUUAAACAAAACUCCAAAUCCACCAAAAGUUUAAAUUUCUUACCUUGAGUACAGAGGGCUUCAGAAAACAACAACAUUUUAGCCUGGAAAUAAAAUCCACAAAAUUAGAAAAAUGAAAUUUGCAUAGAAUUAACAGUUCUAAAAUGAUAGAUAACAAUAAUCUCACACUAUAUUAUACAAAAAUUUAACCACAAAAAUAGAAAAUGGACAGAUUCAUAUAGGAAAGCAGCAGCAGAGCAACUACUGGAUUCUCUCAAAGAUAAUAUUGUCAAAUUUGUAAGAUUAAGCAAGCAAGAGAGAGUACUGGCUUGCAAAGCGUAAGUUGUUAAUCGACACAUUAUUCUGUCCUAAGUUAAGCAACUGAAGGUUUGUUAAGGCACAUAACAUAAUCAAACCAAGCUUAAAUAUUUUUAAAUACAACAGAAGAAUUUAUUUUUUUUCAAAACCAAGAUAAAAAUCUGAAAAAAAACACAAAAUGCAAGGUAUUCUCUGAGGAAGGAAAGAGUUGCGAACUGCAGAAGACAACAGUUGAGAACGACAAACCACAAAUUCGCCAUAAACCGAAGCAGAGUUGUGAGAACAGACGAAAAUUAAUCAAUCAAUUUCAGAAAAAUAGAGGAAAAAUUAACAAACCUGAUCAAAUAGGAUCUGGAUAAAUCUUAGAACAUACCUGAGUUCAAUUCAACUUGUAUGACAACAGUCCCAACUGUGGGAUCGCCGAUGAUAACAGAGACCAACACCCUAAAGAACCGGAUUCAAUGAGAAGGAAUAGGAGGAAGAAGACACAACCCAAGUUUAAACAUCAUAGAAAAGAAACUAAUGUCAGUACCAUAGAGUUUGAUUUGGGGAUGUCUUUUCUUGUUAGACUAAACAUAUAAACCAAGAUCGUGUAACAUGAAUCACAGCCAUCCAAACACAAACUGUAGUUCAUAACUAUUGUACAGAGUAGAACUCUUACCUGCAGAUCCAGCUUUACACAAAAGCACAACCAUCCCAAAAACCAAAAAUAAGGAACGUAGGAUUUUAGAACCCUGUAAGAAAGGGAGAGUAAAGGAAAGUUUAAUGAUAUAAACAAACAAUAGAACAGAUCCCAUAAGUUCCCUAAAAUGAAUGCUACAAUAUGCACAAAAUGUAACUAUUAGUAAUAGUAACCAAUGUAAUCAAACAUAAAUAAAAUGGUAUCGUCAAUUUUGUUCUUUUUCAUAGAGCUCUGAGGUUGAGUCUUAUGAAAUGGCGAGUUUGAUACAAAUUAUAUUUCUGGCAAAUAUUCCUCUAAUCAGAUGCUCUACCCACUUGACUUCAUCUUCAAUAGCAUCAUUAAGAUCCAAUACAUUCUCAAACAGGGAUAUUGCCUUGGCAUUCUCUUCAUCCUGAAGAGUUUAAUCAUGAUCACAAUUCCGAACUCCAAGUCAAUCAAUUAUCUACAUCAAUGGACUAAUAAAGCAUCCAAUAACAAUAAAAAGUACCCACCUCAACUUUCUUGAAUAUAUCUUGGAAUCCCAACUCCCUAAGAACUUGCUCCCGAAGUCUGCAAAGAAGCUGGAUUUCCCCAACAAAGCAGGAAAAAAAAAGAAAUGUGAAUGCUAGGAAAACGAUGCCGCAAUAAAUCAUGACUACAACAUAAUAGAAAGUGAGAAAUCAACUCAAAUCAAAAUUUCGAGCUUACAAUGCAAUCCGGCGGGCCGCCGUGACUCUCAGGAUCCUUUUUCAAGUCCUCCAGUAUCUCAGUGUACCCUUCAGGCAAAAAUACAAAAAAUUGCAGGCAUUUCCGAAAACCCAAUUCACUCAUCGCAAAACAAUCAGUAAAGUGUGUAUCUUUGAGCAAAUUUCUUAGCUCUUGCCGGAGCGUCGGGAACCGAAGCGUCAGACUCAGCUCGUUUCCUGCCGAAACCAAUCAAACCCAUUAACGAAAAACCCAAGAAAUUAAGAUUUAUGAUGGAGGUUGGGGAAAGGAUGAGGAUUAUCACUUGAAGGAGGGGGUGGAAUUGUAGAAGAGGUCGAUCCAGGAGAGCUCAGUGGGAGUGGGCUUGCGGGGAUUGUUGGAAGGGAAUAUGUAGGGGAUGGUGCAGGCUCUGUAAUUGAAUUCGAUCGGCAUCGUCAGCAGUGGAAAUAAAGAGUGAAUUAGAAGAUUUAUCAGAGAGCUUACCUCUACAGUUAUUGCCGACUUGAACAAAUCAAGCUUCUGUAGCAGUCUACAGAUCACAAAGCUGAGAGAUGGUGAUUGAAACUUGACAGGGAUGUGGUUUAAGUUUUUCUGCGGUGAAGCGGUGAACGAUAGAAGAGAUGAAGGGCUGGUUUGGUAUUGCUGUGCUUUGAAAAAAAACUGUUGUGAGAAUAAGCGGCUAUGCUGUGAGAAUAAGCGACUGUGAAAUAAAUCAGCGGAGUGUUUGGUAAACUUUUUUGUAAAAGUGAUUUUGGAAAAAAAAAGCAGUCUGAUAGUGGAUCUUUUCAUUAAAGAAGCACUGUAGCUCCGUGUGCUUUGAAAAAAAAGCCAGUUUUCCAAAGCUGCAAAUAGCAGCUUCAGCUUUUUCCUUUGAUUUCAACUUAUUCUCAUAGCAGCUUCCAAAAUAAGUUAUUUUUUUUCAGUUUACCAAACACCUAAAACCCUCACAGUUUUUUUUCAUGGGUGCUAUUUUUUUUAAGCACCUCACUCCCAAACCACCCCGAAGAGGGAUGAAAGUUUGCCAUAUGGGGUGAGGAUGGAGGGGCGAAGAAUGAAGAAAGCGGUCGAGGAUCCCACGCGUCACAAAACUGUUACUCAUUUGACAGCAAAGCAAUAGGGGCAAAAUUGAAAUAACAAAAAAGAAGCAGGGAUGAAAAUGGAAGAACACUGUUAAUGAACAGUGUUUUUUGUGUUGGGUUUUAGUAUAUGUAUAAUAUCACUCUGUAAACAAACGGACUUGGCCAAGACCCUAGUAGCUUCACUUCUUCCAUUAUUCGUGUGAUCAGGUGAUCGAGGCAGGCCUAAUCAUACAUAUAUACUAAUUUAAAUUUGACUGGGUCUCUAAAUAAAUUGUAAGAAAAUGAAAUUGCAGAGUCACCCUAUUUGCAGAGUCGUUUUUUUUUAUUAAAUUUUAUUUAUUUAUAUAUAUAUAUAUAUUUUGUUUUUUUUGUUUUUUUGAAGAGCCGGUCUUUCUUGUUUUAGGGUAGCAAAAUUAUAAAAAUUUGCCCAGUAUCUGUGGUUUGCAGAUAAUAUCACUGUUCUUUCGCGUCUAAUAAAGUGAUUAAUUACUCAUUCUAAAAUUUUACUAGGAGAAGCAAUUUUUGCACUCUGUUCUACUAUUUUGUACACUCAUAUUUGUUUAGAUUGUUUGAACAUUUUGUUUAUAUAUGCAAGAAAAGGUCGAAAACGAAUAGGGUGUACAAGAAGAGUGAAAAUAUGAGAAAAUCACUUGUAUUUUCUCAAAUGACAGAGGAGAAGGUGCAUGAUUUGUUUUCUAGUUCUUGGCGUGAGAAAACAAUGGGCUUGUUUACCCAAAAAUACAAAAGGGCUGCCGUUUCAAACUCAC
RNAcentral lists this long non-coding RNA (6398 nucleotides) under Malus domestica (apple). RNAcentral describes it as "long non-coding RNA (MDOM_LNC016609)". The record is from RNAcentral. Lineage: Eukaryota; Viridiplantae; Streptophyta; Magnoliopsida; Rosales; Rosaceae.